Sorghum bicolor (sorghum) is the source of this 493-nucleotide long non-coding RNA. RefSeq lists it as uncharacterized. The record is from RefSeq and is a predicted model, not a curated record. Lineage: Eukaryota; Viridiplantae; Streptophyta; Magnoliopsida; Poales; Poaceae. The transcript is spliced from 4 exons.
UGGCGCAGGAUGGAUUUGUAGUGCAUCGAAUGGACUAUGAAGGCCAUGGAAAGUCUUCUGGACUUCAAGGAUAUAUUAGUAGUUUUGAUGACAUUGUGGUUGAUUCCUAUAAAGUACUUUGCAAGUGUUUGUGAGAAAGAAGAGUAUAAGAAACGGAAGAAAUUUUUGCUUGGAGAAUCCAUGGGGGAGCAAUUGUGCUUAUGCUUCACAGAAGGGAACCUACCUUUUGGGAUGGGGCCAUUUUGGUUGCUCUGAUAUGCAAGAUGGUAGAAGAUAUGAAGCCUCAACCCAUUGUGAUUUUGACUUUAAGUAAGCUCAGCAAUGUGAUCCCUUUGUGGAGAAUCAUUCCUAAUGAAGAUAUCAUAGAUAGGGCAAUUAAAAGCGAGGAGUGGCGUGAAGAGGUAAGAAAUAAUCAUUAUUGCUACAAAGGAAAGCCUAGGGUAAAGACUGGUUAUGAAAUUUUCAUAGCAAGCCUGGAUAUGAAAGCAAUCUU